AGCGGGACGGAGCUCAGGCCCUGCCGGCGACGCGCUCGUUCAUCCCAGGUGUCAAAGCCCAUCCAGGAGGGAGAAAAGAGGAAAAUAUACAGGAAACUAAUUAUGCAGUUCAGAGCAUCUUGGAAAUUAAUAAAGCUGAUAAGGAAGGAGGCUGGAAAGCCUGGGUGCAGCAAUACUUUCUGCAGUAUCACAAACUGCAGACCUAUAAAGCUGGAAGAGGAGAAGCCACGAUUGCCCCUGUGCAGCUGGGCGGAAGACAAAGUAGGACGGAGGCUUGCAGAGAGACAGGAUCAAGACCUGAAGAAGCCAUUGAUUUACUUUCAGAUUUUAAAAAAUGCUCUCUCGGAACCUCGUGAAGCAGCACAACUGACAACCAAAUAUUAAUAAACGGCACUUUGCUGGGACGGCGUCCCUGGAAGAUA
Molecule: long non-coding RNA, 422 nt
Organism: Mauremys reevesii (Reeves's turtle)
Lineage: Eukaryota; Metazoa; Chordata; Testudines; Geoemydidae
Exons: 3
Source: RefSeq, a predicted model, not a curated record